GCGGACGGCUCAGUAUAUCAGUUAUAAUCUGCUCGAUUGUAAAGGUUAUUGGAUAACCGUGGGAAAUCUAGAGCUAAUACAUGUAGGGUUUGAUUUGCGGGUAACUGUGAAUCAAUUGCAUUUAUUAGAAAAUACCAACCAUGUGAGCAAUUGCAUGUGGUGAAUCUAGAUAACUGUGCAGAUCGUAUAGCCUCGAGCUGACGACAUUUCGACUGAGUUUCUGCCCUAUCACCUAGAUGUUAGUGUAUUGGACUAACAUGGGGGCAACGGGUAACGGAGGAUUAGGGUUCGAUCCCGGAGAGGGAGCCUGAGAAACGGCUACCACAUCCAAGGAAGGCAGCAGGCGCGCAAAUUACCCAAUCCAGACAAUGGGAGGUGGUGACGAAAAGUACUAGGUCUGCAACUAUGUUGCGGGCUUGGAAUGGAAACAAUUUAAGCAUUUGUUUGAGCAACGACUGGAGGGCAAGUCUGGUGCCAGCAGCCGCGGUAAUUCCAGCUCCAGUAGCGUAUCUCAAAGUUGCUGCGCUUAAAACGCUCGUAGUUGGAUCACAGACCAUUUGUGAAUUGAUUGUGAAUGAGCUGACUAGAUGCUUCGUUGUUGGUCAACAUGUUCUCAUGUUAAGCCUCAUCGUCGUAGGUCACUUGUCACAACAGCAUUUCGCAUAUGGUAAUUGCACGUGAGGAUGGUUGUUGACCUUAAGUGAGUUGACAAUCGUGUCUUACGGAGUGUGCCUUGAGUAAAUCAGAGUGCUCAAAGCAGGCUUGACGCCUGAAUGUUUUUAGCAUGGAACGAACAAUCGUGUAUGGUGUGUACUGGUAUCGGCAAAGAUGACUCCGGUCUCUGAGCUGCAGUACGCGACACCGACCGCCAAUUACGGAUGUUGGUUCGUAUUGGGGUACUGAUUAAGAGGAGCGGUUGGGGGCAUUGGUAUUUGGCAGCGAGAGGUGAAAUUCUUGGACCUGCCAAGGACUAACAAAUGCGAAGGCAUCUGUCCAGACCGUAUCCAUUAAUCAAGAACGAUAGUGAGAGGUUCGAAGACGAUCAGAUACCGUCCUAGUUCUCACUGUAAACUAUGCCGACCCGGGAUCAGUUUGAAGCUUUUUUUAGCGCUUCGGGUUGGUCCCCCUGGGAAACCUUAAGUUUUUCGGUUGCGGGGGGAGUAUGGUCGCAAGGCUGAAACUUAAAGGAAUUGACGGAAGGGCACCACCAGGGGUGGAGCCUGCGGCUUAAUUUGACUCAACACGGGAAAACUUACCUGGUCCGGACAUCAAGAGGAUAAUCAGACUAAGAGAUCUUAUUUGAUCUGGUGAUUGGUGGUGCAUGGCCGUUCUUAGUUCGUGGAGUGAUUUGUCAGGCUAAUUCCGGUAACGAACGAGAUCACAAUCUCUAUUUGACGAGCUGGAGCAGCUACUGACUCGGUCGUCGAGGGUAACACCUUGGUGUUCUGAUGUUGGUAUCGCAGGCAAUGUAUGGGGACACAUGUAGCGCUAACAGGGUUUACUCUGUUAGUGGCUGCCGGUGAACUUGUACUUUCCCUCCAGCCAUACAGUGUGUUGCAAAACAAUGCGCUGUAUCAUAGAGAGACAACGGAAAAUAAUCAAAAUCCGAGGAAGUGUGGCUAUAACAGGUCUGUGAUGCCCUUUAGAUGCUCAAGGGCUG
RNAcentral lists this ribosomal RNA (1660 nucleotides) under Henneguya ganapatiae. RNAcentral describes it as "SSU rRNA". It matches the Rfam family "Eukaryotic small subunit ribosomal RNA", at positions 89 to 1489 of the family's 1831-position model. Lineage: Eukaryota; Metazoa; Cnidaria; Myxozoa; Bivalvulida; Myxobolidae. The record is from RNAcentral.